UGUUCCUACGGGGGGCAGCAGUGGGGAAUAUUGGACAAUGGGGGGAACCCUGAUCCAGCGACGCCGCGUGAGUGAAGAAGUAUUUCGGUAUGUAAAGCUCUAUCAGCAGGGAAGAAAGAAAUGACGGUACCUGACUAAGAAGCCCCGGCUAACUACGUGCCAGCAGCCGCGGUAAUACGUAGGGGGCAAGCGUUAUCCGGAUUUACUGGGUGUAAAGGGAGCGUAGGUGGCAAGGCAAGUCAGAUGUGAAAACCCGGGGCCCAACCCCGGGAGUGCAUUUGAAACUGUCUGGCUAGAGUGCAGGA
This 305-nucleotide ribosomal RNA is filed under the name uncultured bacterium. Its description in RNAcentral is "bacterial SSU rRNA". It matches the Rfam family "Bacterial small subunit ribosomal RNA", at positions 334 to 653 of the family's 1533-position model. The record is from RNAcentral.